Molecule: ribosomal RNA, 579 nt
Filed under: Filobasidium magnum
Lineage: Eukaryota; Fungi; Basidiomycota; Tremellomycetes; Filobasidiales; Filobasidiaceae
Description: partial large subunit ribosomal RNA
Rfam family: Eukaryotic large subunit ribosomal RNA
Source: RNAcentral
GAGUGAGCGGGAAGAGCUCAAAUUUGAAAUCUGGUGGCCUCAGGUCAUCCGAGUUGUAAUCUAUAGAAGUGUUUUCCGUGCUGGCUCAUGUACAAGUCCCUUGGAACAGGGCGUCAUAGAGGGUGAGAAUCCCGUCCUUGACAUGAACUACCAGUGCUCUGUGAUACAUUUUCAACGAGUCGAGUUGUUUGGGAAUGCAGCUCAAAAUGGGUGGUAAAUUCCAUCUAAAGCUAAAUAUUGGCGAGAGACCGAUAGCGAACAAGUACCGUGAGGGAAAGAUGAAAAGCACUUUGGAAAGAGAGUUAAACAGUAUGUGAAAUUGUUGAAAGGGAAACGAUUGAAGUCAGUCGUGCUCUUUGGAUUCAGCCGGUUCUGCCGGUGUACUUCCUUUGAGUGGGGUCAACAUCAGUUUUGAUCGCUGGAUAAAGGCUGGAGGAACGUAGUACCCUCGGGUAAACUUAUAGCCUCCUGUCACAUACAGUGGUUGGGACUGAGGAACGCAGCACGCCUUUAUGGCCGGGAUUCGUCCACGUACGUGCUUAGGAUGUUGACAUAAUGGCUUUAAACGACCCGUCUUGA